UAAUUGAUUGGAGGUUUGUGGUUAGCUCUACUUCUUAUUUUCCUUCUUUUUCUUCUUUCUCCUCAUUGGGUGAGUGGGCUUAAAUUUCUAGUAGGUGAAAUUGAAUUCAUGGUGAGAUGCUAGUAUGGAUGUAGACCUUAUGAACUUACUCCUCCAACGUAAAUUCAGUCUCUUUAGCAGCGAAAUCUUCGAACUUGAACUGAUUCUCUACCCCCUUUUGCUGGUUUAAGAGCGAUUCUCACCAGAUUUUUAAGUUAAAAAGGCUAAUCUUCCGAGAGGCUGAGAGUGAAGUUAACCUCAAUUACUGCUGGUUGGGGCAAGGUUUGAGAUGAAUUGGAGGCCAAUAGAAGUUGAUUUUCUAUUAAUUAGGUAUCCAAUCAAUUUCGCCUAGUGCUGAAAUUCUGCUCUUUCUAAUUCACUCUCAACAACUUGGCUGAGAAUUUGAGGUGAAAUUUCAGAUAUUUUCUUCAUGGUGGACUAACCUUGUUCCUUGACCACUCUCACACUUUCUCCUCCCUGUUGUGCUCCUGCUGGUUGGUUUCCUGCUGGCAGUAAAUAGCAGAAGCACUUGAGUGGCAGCAGCGGCACCUGAUGACAGCAGCAGCAACAGGGCAUGUUGAGGAGUUUUCGUUAAUGCAAUUCAGACUGUUUCUUUUCGAAAUUGAGAUGAAUUUGUAGGAGAAGAGGCCAAUGGUCUGGACCUACAUCUUCAAGUAGCCAAAUCAUCAGGUUGAUUGGGCUAAUUGUGAGUCCAAGCGGUGUUAAUGCUGAUUUUUACUAAAGGUUGAUUCAACUUUAGUUUGUGACUCUAACUUUCUUAUGUGUUUGAAUUAGGGGAUUCUAUCUAAUAUGCAUCAAUACUCUAGCUAUUUCAAGGUUUCUUCUAGUUGAUUGAUAAGGGAUUUUGGAGUUUGGCAUCACUUCCCUUCUACUUGGAGUUGGGGGAAAGUGCUUGCGGAGUCUCAGUCAACCCGUGGUUGGAUUAGUAAAUAAGGUGGGUUAAUAUUUACCGAAAUCAUCGGAAUUUUUCCUAAGUCGUAGAGUGUCAGCAUGUUUUUUCUUAUGUUGAUCAUCAUGUUUAGUAGCUCGAAUUCUUAGAUUUGCAUGUUUUACGAAAUCUGAAUUUGGAGUAUAGUCUAAUAAUUUUAGAUGAA
This is a long non-coding RNA of Ananas comosus (pineapple), 1154 nucleotides long. RefSeq lists it as uncharacterized. The record is from RefSeq and is a predicted model, not a curated record. Lineage: Eukaryota; Viridiplantae; Streptophyta; Magnoliopsida; Poales; Bromeliaceae. The transcript has 5 exons.